GGUGGAGGGGGGGAUCUGACGUCCCUGAGUGUAUGUGGUGAACCUGAAUUAGCCUUGGAUUCUCAUAUCAUCAGGAGUGUCAGCUGCCCAUCAAC
Molecule: microRNA precursor, 95 nt
Organism: Ochotona princeps (American pika)
Lineage: Eukaryota; Metazoa; Chordata; Mammalia; Lagomorpha; Ochotonidae
Source: Ensembl